Molecule: ribosomal RNA, 460 nt
Filed under: uncultured bacterium
Lineage: Bacteria
Description: partial 16S ribosomal RNA
Rfam family: Bacterial small subunit ribosomal RNA
Source: RNAcentral
CCUACGGGAGGCUGCAGUGAGGAAUAUUGGUCAAUGGCCGAGAGUCUGAACCAGCCAAGUAGCGUGAAGGACGACUGCCCUAUGGGUUGUAAACCUCUUUUAUAUGGGAAGAAUAAGUUCUACGUGUAGCAUGAUGUCUGUACCUUAUGAAUAAGCAUCGGCUAACUCCGUGCCAGCAGCCGCGGUAAUACGGAGGAUCCGAGCGUUAUCCGGAUUUAUUGGGUUUAAAGGGUGCGUAGGCGGUUUUUUAAGGCUGUUGUUAAAGCUUGCGGCUCACCCGUAAAAUUGCAGUUGAAACUGGCAGUCUUGAGUACAGUAGAGGUAGGCGGAAUAAGUUGAGUAGCGGUGAAAUGCUUAGAUAUCACGAAGAACUCCGAUUGCGAAGGCAGCUCACUGGACUGCGACUGACGCUGAGGCUCGAGAGUGUGGGUAGCGAACAGGAUUAGAUACCCUGGUAGUC